This is a non-coding RNA of Acanthosepion pharaonis, 96 nucleotides long. NCBI's taxonomy places the organism in Eukaryota, Metazoa, Mollusca, Cephalopoda, Sepiida, Sepiidae. The record is from the annotation of a GenBank genome assembly.
GCAUUGAAACACUGGUUCUCGUAAAAUCACCGAAGUUAAGCAACGUCGAGUCUGUUUAGUACCUAGAUGAAUGACCUGUUGGAAAUACCCGGUGCU